Molecule: long non-coding RNA, 1266 nt
Filed under: Carassius auratus (goldfish)
Lineage: Eukaryota; Metazoa; Chordata; Actinopteri; Cypriniformes; Cyprinidae
Description: lncRNA (ENSCARG00000058807.1)
Source: RNAcentral
AGAGGCCUGCAGCACACAGUCAGGCCUGAAAUGUAUAGAAUAUCAAAUUAUUCUAUUGUUAUUCUUCAAACACAGCACAACCAUGAUGUGUAUUUGUACAAGGCAGUGAUGCAGGAUCAUGGAUUUCUAGUCUCAAACAAAAGCUUGGCUGGUGAACAACAGAGAUACAAGAACCUGCCAACAGCAGACCUGAACUCCUGCACACCUGCAGCUAAUGGCAGGUUUAUUCAUGUGCCAGAACACAUACCGAGCCAGGGACAGAGAAACACAGAAAGAGUGAGGGGGGAUGGAAGGACAUGAAAGGGCGAGGAAAGAACAGAAAAGAGAAGAAGAAGAAGACAGCAUCAAACACAGGUCAAACCUCCAAAGUGUAUGAUAGACUGUGUCUGAUUCUUAAAGGAACAGUUGAACCAAAAUUACAAUUUUCUCACUAUCAUGUUGUUUCAAGUUCAUUUGUUUUAUGAAACACAAAACUAUAUUUGCCAAUAUGACGACUAGAGGUGUUAAGCUUUUAAAACGCCAUUAAUUAAAGUAUUAUAAAAGUGAUCCAUAAAUCUAUUUACAUACAGACAUUUACCACCACUGACAAAUAUGACAGCACUUAAAUGCUAUUGAUUUUCAUUAUAAGAAACACUUUAUCCUAAACCAUGCCAAUUAAUCUUUAUUAUUUCUCUGUAUCUAAAAGAAUAUUAAUUCCUCCCUAGAAAGCAAAGUAUAGGUCUCUUAAGAUAUAUUCAUAAUUUCACUCUCCUUUUCUCAUUAUAGGUUUAAAACAAUUAGGCAAACUUCAUCUGACCUACCAUAUUCAGCUAGAUUUCAAUAGAACUAUAUUCAAACAAUAGCUGAUCCUUCAUUUAGUGAGGAAAUUAAAUAUUUAAAUUCAGUGAGCGUUAAGUUGUUAAGUUGAACACAGGCGUUAAGUUGUAAUUAAACUUUUCUCCAUUAAGAACCCAACCAACACUGUUGCCAUUUCUUAUCAUUCGAUGCUUUUCAAGAUAAUGAGAACAGAUUAUGUGACAACAUAAAUCUACAGUUACUGCCUCAAAAUGUUUAACCCCUGUUCAUCCACAUCUUUAUUAUGCAGAAAAAGUUUCUCAUAAAGUUUCUAGAACAUAAAUUAUUAAGUAUUUCCAUGAUACUGUGUCCCACCAACCAAAAAAACACUAACAGCACAUUCCUGUCAAGCGUAUCUUAUAAACACUGAUAUACAUUAACAUAUAACUCGCCCCAAUCCAGUUAAAACUGCUUUCAUUCACGUAAACAAAU